This 22-nucleotide microRNA is filed under the name Rattus norvegicus (Norway rat). RNAcentral describes it as "Rno-Mir-148-P1_5p* (star (passenger))". Lineage: Eukaryota; Metazoa; Chordata; Mammalia; Rodentia; Muridae. The record is from RNAcentral.
AAAGUUCUGAGACACUCUGACU